RNAcentral lists this long non-coding RNA (238 nucleotides) under Capsella rubella. RNAcentral's name for it is "long non-coding RNA (CRUB_LNC004918)". The record is from RNAcentral. Lineage: Eukaryota; Viridiplantae; Streptophyta; Magnoliopsida; Brassicales; Brassicaceae.
CUUGCUUGUUUGUGUUCUUAAACUUUGGAUUUAUGUAUCCUUCUCUUUGUACUAAUCUUUAUGAUUAAAUGAAUCAAGUUUUUGACCCAAAAAAAAAAAGAAACCCCUCACAAGCCUCACCUUAGCACCUUAGGAUCAACUCUCCACUCUCUACUCUUUUGCGGUAAAAAAACGAUAGAAGCCCCUAGUGAGAAGAAAGUGGCUGCUCUGGAGUUUAAAAGUCGAGCUUAGGUUUUUC